Molecule: ribosomal RNA, 326 nt
Filed under: uncultured eukaryote
Lineage: Eukaryota
Description: partial 18S ribosomal RNA
Rfam family: Eukaryotic small subunit ribosomal RNA
Source: RNAcentral
CCCUUAGAUGUUCUGGGCCGCACGCGCGCUACACUGACGGAGGCAGCGAGCGUGUCCUUCGCCGGCAGGUGCGGGCAAUCUUGCGAGUCUCCGUCGUGCUGGGGAUAGAUGGUUGCAAUUGUCGAUCUUGAACGAGGAAUUCCUAGUAAGCGCGAGUCAUCAGCUCGCGCUGAUUACGUCCCUGCCCUUUGUACACACCGCCCGUCGCACCUACCGAUUGGAUGGUCCGGUGAAGCCUCGGGAUUGUGGUUCUUGCCGCUUUAUUGUGGCGUGACCGCGAGAACUUGUCUAAACCUUAUCAUCUAGAGGAAGGUGAAGUCGUAACA